This 294-nucleotide transfer-messenger RNA is filed under the name Veillonella sp. It matches the Rfam family "transfer-messenger RNA". From Rfam's summary of the family: Bacterial tmRNA, also known as 10Sa RNA or SsrA, is named for its dual tRNA and mRNA-like properties. Its role is to liberate the mRNA from a stalled ribosome. Lineage: Bacteria; Bacillati; Bacillota; Negativicutes; Veillonellales; Veillonellaceae. The record is from RNAcentral.
GGGGAUGUAAAGGUUUCGACAGGGGUGCGUGUGGUAUAGAUAGCGAGUCGGCGUUCCAUGAGGCCGUUAAACGGCUACGUCCCUCAUACUUGUGCCUACCAAGUGUGAAUGGACGUCAAACAGUAGGCUGGUCUAAUUUAGUUGUUCAUAUGAAUUAGGCGAGACAAUAUGAACUGGGGUUGUGUAGCUUGUCUGUGAGCGAUAGCAACCCGAGAUCUCAAUCAUAGACUGUGCUCGGAGAAGUCUAUAUGGCAACACUCUUGGACAGGGGUUCGACUCCCCUCAUCUCCACCA